AGUGAACGCUGGCGGUAGGCCUAACACAUGCAAGUCGAACGGCAGCACAGGAGAGCUUGCUCUCUGGGUGGCGAGUGGCGGACGGGUGAGGAAUACAUCGGAAUCUGCCCAGUCGUGGGGGAUAACGUAGGGAAACUUACGCUAAUACCGCAUACGACCUUCGGGUGAAAGAGGGGGAUCGCAAGACCUCUCGCGAUUGGAUGAGCCGAUGUCGGAUUAGCUAGUUGGCGGGGUAAUGGCCCACCAAGGCGACGAUCCGUAGCUGGUCUGAGAGGAUGAUCAGCCACACUGGAACUGAGACACGGUCCAGACUCCUACGGGAGGCAGCAGUGGGGAAUAUUGGACAAUGGGCGCAAGCCUGAUCCAGCCAUACCGCGUGGGUGAAGAAGGCCUUCGGGUUGUAAAGCCCUUUUGUUGGGAAAGAAAUCUUUCAGGCUAAUACCCUGGGAGGAUGACGGUACCCGAAGAAUAAGCACCGGCUAACUUCGUG
RNAcentral lists this ribosomal RNA (490 nucleotides) under uncultured bacterium. RNAcentral describes it as "partial 16S ribosomal RNA". It matches the Rfam family "Bacterial small subunit ribosomal RNA", at positions 29 to 507 of the family's 1533-position model. The record is from RNAcentral.